UAUUAGAUGGCCGAAAGAAGGUAGUGGAAUUUUAAACCAUUUUAUAGUAAAUAGCACCUACUUCUAAUA
This 69-nucleotide transfer RNA is filed under the name unidentified. Its description in RNAcentral is "Wallacea dactyliferae tRNA-Lys". The record is from RNAcentral.